This is a long non-coding RNA of Oncorhynchus keta (chum salmon), 3547 nucleotides long. RefSeq lists it as uncharacterized. The record is from RefSeq and is a predicted model, not a curated record. NCBI's taxonomy places the organism in Eukaryota, Metazoa, Chordata, Actinopteri, Salmoniformes, Salmonidae. The transcript is spliced from 7 exons.
AGGAAGGAAGGAAGGAAGGAAGGAAGGAAGGAAGGAAGGAAGGAAGGAAGGAAGGAAGGAAGGAAGGAAGGAAGGAAGGAAGGAAGGAAGGAAGGAAGGAAGGAAGGCGAGGGAAAAAGAUGAGAGAGAACAGUAGGAGAAAGGGGAUACAUAGAGUUGAUACUGGUGGAAGUAGUUGAUAGUGUACACAGAGUCAUAGAGAGAUGGAGAAAAAAAGGAGAGUGAGAGAGAGAAAUGAGGGAGAGAGAAAAACAAAGGUUCAUGAGUUGAUGGGAAGGAGGGUGAAGGGAGCUGUAUCCAUGUGUUAGUGUGUCUCUGGAGGCCCAUGAUGCCAUGCUGUGCAGUCCCGUACCUCUAUCUCCCUCCCUCCCUCUUUUCCCACCUCCUAUUUUUAGACCCCAGCCCAGCCAUGAAUCAAAGCAAUGAAUCAAAGCUUAUCAAAGAGGUGCAGGAUCUGGGAUGCAAAAGAGCCCUGUAUUCCACACCUCAUCAACUACGAAGACACACACACAGGUAAAGGAUACACACACAUAAACAAUCAUGUUCACAAACACACAAAAGACGCGCACACAAACAUACAAAACACUAGCUUUGACUCCCAUCCCAUCCCAUGACCAAGCAGUGCCUCAGAGUGAAGCGUCACAUUUUUUUUACACUUCCUCUAUACACAUAUUCUUGUACAGCUAAUCUAAUCUAUUUUUAGCCCAUAUGACUUCCAAAUGAUCAGGUUUGAAGGGCCAUUCAAUUCCCUCAAGCUCUAGUUUAACUGCUUACGCAAACCCAGAAAACGACUUUCUCUGUCUAGUGAAUAGCAUAAUAAAAUACAACCUGUCAUCGCUGUCGGAAGAAAUCCUUAAAACUCCACAUUUGUUUUUCAUUUUUAGUUUUAGAUCAAAACACAUGGAGACAUCUAUGAAGUCUCAUCUAGGAUAGAGCGAAAGGACCAUUCCACACGUUGUCAUAGACGUUCCACAUACAGUACAUCCAUGACAUAGAAAAGUGGAAUAUGUUUCAUGUGUCCCAAAAUGAACUAUUAUCCUAAGCAUUGCAUGCUGGGCCUCUGUGGAGAAAUUCUAAUGACCAUAACCCAAGAAUGUGAAUAAUUUAAAUGAAUAAUAUGGCGUCUUAGGAUCUGGUCCAAUCGUUUUUAUACAAAGCUUUGAUAGACUGUAUAUGUAUGCCAGUGCAUUAUAUAACAACAGAACAAGUUAUAAAUAGUUAAGGGCUUUUUGAACUGAAAUAAAGCAAAACACGAUCCAUCAAAGAGAUUUCAUGAAAGUUUAAAGCACGGCUGGGGAAUUGAUUCUAGGACGUGAUGGAUAUCACCGCCGUGCAAAAAAGACACACACACGCACGUACUCAUGUACGUAUACACACACACACCCACACACAUUGAUGGAGUGAGACAUUGUGUGUGUGUGUGUGUUUGUGUGUGCUUAUUGAAAGAAAGCGUCAGGUAGCCUGGCGGGUAGGAGCAUAGGCCGGUAAUCGAAAGGUUGCUGGAUCGAAUCCCAGAGUGGACAAAGUAUAAAUCUGUCAUUCUGUGCCAGGCAGAUAACUCCCAACAACUGCUCCCCGGGUGCCGUGCAUGUUGAUCAAGACAGACCCAAGCACCGCUCUGCUUCAGAGAGGGUUAAAUGCAGAAGACACAUUUCAGUUGAACGCAUUCAGUUGUACAACUCACUAGGUAUCCCCCUUUUGCCAGAUUACUGUGAUCAAUUCCGAAGUCAAUGGAGACAGGUAAACAUCACCUUGAAAGGACAGGGUGUGUGAUGGAGGCAUGGGAGAAAGAUGGGAUUCACACCCUGUCUGAUCUGACACAAUGCACCAUGGAGGGGGGAUCAAAAAGUGUAUGUGUGUACGAGUGAGUGAGUGCAUGUGUGUGACAAAGACUCAGAGACGGGUAAUUAAGCACCUCUCUUCCCUCACACGGGCAAGUGAAAAUGGACUAUGAACCAGACAGUUCAGAGACUAAAACUGUGGUUUACAAUUUCUAAUGGAAUGUGCUUCCUCUUUCCCAUUGCCUAUAAUGCACUGUACUUGUUAUGACUGUCUGUGUGCAUUUGAUGAGUACUUUAUAGUGUGUUACAGAGAACAGUUGAUUCCAUUAUACCUCUCAUAGCCUCAGAGUGAAGAGAUGUGAUCUCUUCAUGAAUUCAGAUGAAAGGAGGAGAGGAGUGAGGAAGGGAGGGGAGGAGAGAGGAAGGGAGUCUUUCACAGGGGCUUUGGAGGGAAUUACUGGCUCAAGUGGAGAUAUCUCAUCAACAAACUUCCUUCGUCUCUAAAAUAAAAAAGCUGAGUGCCAGUGAAACGGGGACAAUUGUCAACAUCAGCACUGUGACCAUGCAGAAGAACGGGAAAUGUCAACAUCAGCACUGUGACCAUGCAGAAGAACGGGAAAUGUCAACAUCAGCACUGUGACCAUGCAGAAGAACGGGAAAUGUCAACAUCAGCACCUUGACCAUGCAGAAGAACGGGAAAUGUCAACAUCAGCACUGUGACCAUGCAGAAGAACGGGAAAUGUCAACAUCAGCACUGUGACCAUGCAGAAGAACGGGAAAUGUCAACAUCAGCACUGUGACCAUGCAGAAGAACGGGAAAUGUCAACAUCAGCACUGUGACCAUGCAGAAGAACGGGAAAUGACGGUGACCCGGUUGACUAUUUGCAUAUAGUAGCCGUUUGCAUACUCGUACACAGAUUACGUUGGCUUUCCGUUGCAUGUAUAAGAACUCUGACACUUCAUCAAAGAUUUAACACACCGCCUCGACACUUACAUCACAAGAAAGAGAAGAAAGGUAACUUUAUUUUCAUGAGUGUUACAUUUUUUCUAGAAUUAAAAAUAGUAAUAAUUAAUACAGUUGAAAUGUUUACAAAUUAGAUGCGCUGAAGUGAAAUCAACUUCUGAAAAUGAACACUUGGAUUAUAGUGAUAUUAUAUCUGAUCUCGCAAACCAUGUAAAGUAUGUUUUGAUAAAAGUAAUCUAGAUAAGCGUGUACAUUUUUAUUUCGAGGAUAUACUGCUAUUGACACACUUGUUGAAUUAUGCAGCAGAACAUGACAACAACAGUAAUUAAUGAGGCAGUCUAGACAGUGCUGGUGAGUACAGGUAGGGUAGACAGUGCUGGUGAGUACAGGUAGGGUAGACAGUGCAGGUGAGUACAGGUAGGGUAGACAGAGCAGGUGAGUACAGGUAGGGUAGACAGUGCAGGUGAGUACAGGUAGGGUAGACAGUGCAGGUGAGUGCAGGUAGGGUAGACAGUGCAGGUGAGUACAGGUAGGGUAGACAGAGCAGGUGAGUACAGGUAGGGUAGACAGUGCAGGUGAGUACAGGAAGGGUAGACAGAGCAGGUAGAUUACAGGUAUUGUAGACAGUGCAGGUGAGUGCAGGUAGGGUAGACAGUGCAGGUGAGUGCAGGUAGGGUAGACAGUGCAGGUGAGUGCAGGUAGGGUAGACAGUGCAGGUGAGUACAGGUAGGGUAGACAGUGCAGGUGAGUACAGGUAGGGUAGACAGUGCAGGUGAGUGCAGGUAGGGUAGACAGUGCAGGU